UUGUGUAUUGCUAUCGUGCGGUUGUUACUAAAGUUGUUAUAACUAGAGAAGCGAGCUGUCGGCAACAUUAAUCUUUUGAGGUUGUGUCUAACGAGGUGUUACAGUGUGUUUGACCCUGAAUUAAUUUUACACCAGAAUAUCUCUUUAAAUACAGCAUGACUUUAAUUUUGUAUAUUUUGCUGCUAUUUAGAAUAACAGGCUCAUGCUUUAGGGUGUGGCUACCCUGCCGUCUUUUAAAACUUUAUUGCACAGACUCACUACUUCCACAUAUGAACAUUUGUUUACAUUUAGAGCGCUCUAAGAUCAUAGCCCUGAAUAGUUAAAUCUGCAUGUAUGUAGACUUAUGUAAAGUACACAUUUUGGUGAUUUAAGUAUGUAUCAAAUUGCUCUCCUAUUUGAUGAUGUGACUAUUUGAUGAACAGGCCUCAAAGUCUUACCAUGAACAGCCAUAAAAGCCAAAUUUUGGUGGCCUCUCGCAAUUUUAUUGACACUAUUCUAUCAAAAUACCUGCUGUGAUUAUUAACACAUCUUUAGAGAGUUUGCUAUUCAGUUUCUAAAUACUUUAUUGCGACCUCCUGUCAGUUCCAGUUCUAGCUUGUCAAAAUAAGUUUGUCUGGUAAAGACCACCUCAGGAAGUCCAAAGGUUACAGAAUUGGACCGACGUUUCACCGAAUGGGCUUGAUUUCAACAGAAAAGCUACAAAGCAGAAGCAAAGGGCUUCUUAAAUAUAAAAGGAAAUAACCUCAUUAUUCAAAUAUCUUGUUAUUCAAAAUGUUUUGUUGAAAUCAAGGAUAGAAAAGUAGCUGGCUGUACUUGAGUGAGUAGUCAGCUGCUUGGCUGACAGCUGGUGCUUGUGGAAACCACUUAAUACGGUCCCUUUCAGCACCGAAAAACAAGAUGGCAAUCACAUGGAUUAUCGCCACAAGGCUUCAAAAGUAGAGUCUACCAACAAACGCAUACUACAGCAAUGGCUACGUCCACUUCUUACACAGUAGCCAUGGUUUGGUGUUUAGAUAAUAUAACAGCAAAAUGGUAAAUCGAAAACAGAACCUCUUGGAAGGAGUUUGCAUAGAAAACAUCCACAACACAUGCUUUGAUUACAUCUUCUUCCAAAUCAAACCUGAUCAACAUGCCCGAGCUCCUCUCUCCCAGUCUGUUUGUCUGUCUCUGCCUGUCUUCCUGGCCGUGUUGGUGGCGACAGGAGACAGUGGUGUGCUGGCAGGUGCAUGCCACCAAAUUAUCAUCCACACACGUACACACACAUACACACACAUACACAAAGCAGGCCUCUCCUGUGCUGAGAAGGCUGCCAUUAUCAUAUCAAAGCGUCUCUCACAGAGACGUGGCAGCGCUUCAAUUUAAGCAAUUAAUGCAGAGAGAGACUCUGUCACACAGCCCAGCACCCCCCCAUCCCUCACCCCUCACCCUCCAACUACACACACAUGCACGCACACACGCCUUCAUACACAAAUUCACAGAUACACAUGCUGGGCUCUCUUGUGGCACUCGGAGACAAACAAAGGUGUUGGGAAGCGAGGAUCCAUAUUCUCAAGGCCAUCCUGCUGUUUUUCUCUCCUAGUCCAGCCCUAAAAUGAAACAGCUCUUUUUUUCACACAGCUCCAGGAUUUUCAUCAAAAUAUCCACCUGAGACAGUUGAAACACUUUUUCUGAGGUGUGCUUAAAUCCGGCGGUGCUCCCUUGCUGAAAUCUUUCUCAGAUAUCAGUCUCUGCAGGAUUUGAGCUUGCUUUUUUGGUUAUUUAUGUGGUUUUAAUCUUUCUUUUUUAAUUUUUUUAAGUAUAUGUCGGACUUUAAAAACAUUUUAUCACAAGCAGACCCAGUAUGAGCAACACAGGCAAGAAUUAGAAUGAAGCCAAGUGAGCUAUUUUCCUGCUGACUUUAACUAAAUUCACAAUUUAUCACAUACACACUAAUCCAUGUGGUUUUAGAUGCUAUGGCAAUAUAAAAACUGUGAACGUUUAAAAGCAACUAAUUUGCUUGUUAUUUAAAUUCUGACUUAGCAACUCGUUUAAAGGUCAGAAAAAGAAAUCAGAAAUUUUCCGCAGUUCUAUGACAAAGCUUAACACAAGAUCCCAGAGCUCGAGGGUUAAAUGCUGUCACAUUGGUAUGCCGAGUGUGGAUAACAUUAGCAGAGCUAGCACCACCAGCCUUAGGUUAACAUUUACAUACCUGUGCUGGUUCCAUAGAUACUGCCAUAUUCAAAGGGUAUCCAACUUUCUUUGUGGACAAAUUGGUGUACAGUGGCUAUUGCCAUCAACAUGUCACUGGGCAGGGUAGCACUGGUCAUUUAAUUGUUCCAUUCUCAAAGUCCAAUAUGUAUGAGGAGAUCAGUGUUAUUUAGGUCUUUAGAAAUGUAGAAUCAAUUGCCUAGGAGCACACAGCAAAUAAGCAGUAGUUAUUAUUUUCAAAGAACUUUGAAACAAAACUAAAAAAACUAAAAAAAACAUAGAUUUUGGAGUGAUUUUAAUGUUGUGAAUUGAAUCUAUAAUUGUAUUAUUAAUUAAUUGUUAAAAUGGAAUUGUAUUGUGAUUUUAAGUUUUUGGACCCAAGGAUGACUAGGAACCACUUUGUGGAAGCUAAUGGGGUUCCAAACAAACUAAUGAAUAAACAUAGAUCCCCAGUCAAGUGGUUAUAUGUCAGAAUAACCAGACAAAGUCUUCAUAAAGUUUUAGCUUCACUGUCCAGAUUAAAUUUCUGCCAAACUGUAUUUGCACUUCGAGGAUGCCAUCUGUAAUCUUGUUUCCAUCCAGGUACUCGGCCUGAUAUGUAGUAUUAUGACAGUAGUACUUGAGUUCCAGCUCUGGCAGAUGGCUGCACUAUUAGGGUGACAAUAUGUCUUCUUUUACCUAGACAUGUCCUCUUUUUUGAGGGCUGUCCGGCCUUGUCCAUCGGAGUUUAUAAGAUCCUUCAAAUGUUCGGGGUUUUGUAUAGAAGUUUUGAGUUUGUGUCACAUGGACUUAAUGAGUUAGAAGCAUGUAAAAUACACUUGGUCUAACCUGAAAAACUCAAAAUUAGAACGCCCGACUCUGUGACUCUGCCCUUGUGUAGUCAUGUCUUCUUUUUGGGGAUUCACAAUAUGGUCACCCUAUCCACUAUGCAUUAGACACAAUUUGAUGACCAACAUUGCAGGCCUACGAUCAUGAAAGCUUAACCACACUCUCCCUAAUCCAAAGAUUACAUAUUGAGAGAUUACUUUCUUUUUGUUUUGUAGUUUUAGCAAAGUUUGAUUUGUACCCCUUUGAAGUAACUUAGAUUUAGUUUAUAUCUUUAACAGUAUGAUAUUUUUUAAAAAAGAAAAAAAAUUGUAGCUAACUUUAUUCUGUUUGAAACUGUAACAAAAAUGGAUCAUUAUUCUUUUCCAUCUUUAACUACUAAAUCCUGCCGUUCUGAUACAGGCUACAUGCAGGACUGAGGGACCCUCCACUAGCUAUCGAUCUAAACAGACACAGGAGGAUCCUCUUCAAGCCAAUCAGUCAUCUUUUAAACCUGAGUAUCCGCCAAUCAGUAGACUCAUUGUACCUUUUCCCUUCUGUUUAGGAGAAAUUGGCCUCUGUCAUUUAAGCUUUUCAACCAAAUCUCUCCAACAUUCAACCCCUUCUUCUCCGCUGCCUUUCUCUCUUGCGCUGGAUUGUCGUGAAGUACUCCAUCUUUAUUUUUUAUUUUUAGGCGAGACACUUUAUUAGACACAGCUGUUCAACUAGACCCAGCAAGGCCCAGAUUAGCUGCCAAAAGCUUUUCUUUCUCUCUCUCUUUUUCUCUCCGCUGGUCUCUGUGUGUGUCUCUGUCUGUCAGGUGGGAUGCAGAGGGAUGAAUAGACAGUGAUGGGGAGCAGCUCUGUGAGGCUGUGGAAAAACCUUGGCUCCUGGCCUCAUGUUCUCUGCACAGCAAGUUUGACGAAGAGACAUCAUUUUUAUCUUGUGUAGGAGAUAAACUUAGUGUCUGGGCAGAUCAUUGCCUCUGCCAUAGCAUAAUGAACGCACACAAGAAGUAAAACCUACAGGUAUCUGCUUAAAUACAAGAGAAAUUAAAGACAUAAGUUGCUGUCUUGAACUUAAUGUUUUCUGAUUGACCAUUGCCAAAAUUUUCAACAAAACACUUACACAAUCAAACAAAAAUCUGUAUUUUUUCUCAAAUUUUUUCACAAGAACUUUUUGUUUCUCUCAGUCUUUAGUGGCUGCCACUGCUCAUUUUCACUAGUCUUUUCUUCCUAUAUGGGCUGGGACGAUAUGCUUUUCUCCCGAUUCGAUUCUUCUACGAGUUUUGGAUGCCGAUUCGAUUUAAAUUGCGAUUCUACGAUAUUGUCUACUUUCUCGAUUUUUAGUCUGCAUUUUUAACACCAGUGGAACAGUUGAAUGUAAGUGAUUGUCUACUGACUAUUCCAGGAACCAUAUUUCCCUCCAAAAUACACAUCACAUUUAAGUCAGUUUUUAAGAUUUAUUCUUAAAUUUGAAAACAAAAAUCGAUUUUUGAACAAAAAAAUCUAUUUACAAAUUGUAAAACAAAAAAAUUGCAAUACUUAUCAAUCAAUCAAUUUUUUUCUCCCACCCCUACUUCCUAUAUUUGAAGUAAACCAAAAACAUCAAAUCACCCUCUGAUAUGAAGAAUUUAAAUCAUAAAAAUAUGCAUUCGUAAUUAAAAAAAAAUGGCCAUCUGAAUACCCAUAGGUAAAAAGUUAUUUAAUAAAUUAUUAAAUAUCAUACAAUUCAAAUCCAUAUCUAUGUACACACCAAACUCUACACUGUUCCUUAUAGAAAUAGCACCAGUAUUUUAUAUUCAGGAAAUCAAAAUAAAGCUCUGAAGCCUUGCAUCAUAGACUUCAUGAAGAGGAAUAAGGCAGCACAAGCUGUAUUUGUUUCACCUGUGUCUUGAAAUUGCUAAGUGGUAAACACUAAAGCAAAUAUCACAGUAUAUAAAUAAAGCCUCUGCAAUUUCCUCCAGAUUUAAGUUGUGAUCAAUCAAAGCCCACAGAGUGAAUGGAAGAAUGUAAACACGGAGCGUCAGCUAUUAACAGCAGUGGUUUUGUUUUCAGUCCUGUUCUAUAUAUAAGUGGUUAGCUGUGUGUAAUUAAAACACAAUAGGGCCUAAUAAUGUACGACACAGCCAGAGUGAAAAUUGUAAACUCUGUCACUCACUUGAAGGCUCAAGUAUGGCUCAGUAAUACACCACCAUCAUUAUCAUUACAAACACAUGUAAAAGCUUAUUAAGUAAACUAUCUAAGGAAUGAGUUAACCAUCAAAGUUUGUCAUUAGUAAGAAAACAAGAAAUAACUUACAAUUAAAAACUUAGUCGCAUUUUUAGAUAUUCCGAAGAGCUCCAUUACUCUUUAGCCAACCAAUUGUUAUCUUUUUUUUGUUUGUUUCAUUUUAAAUUGAUAAAUAAGUGACAAAAACACGAGGAGUUUACCAAGUCAAGGUUUUUACACACAGACAGCACCACUGAAGUACAAAGUGUACUCUUCUCAUCCUGUGCUGUCUUGGGCUUUAGAUGUCGAUGUACACAUGUGGAAGGGCGAGGAGCUCUCAGACCAGAGUCAGACAUCCAAGUAUGAUCUCCUUUAUGCUAACACUAAAUGAUCUUUGAUGAAGUGGUCCCAGUUGAGCUGGAGUCUGGGUUUUCUACUGUUGCCAGUUUGUGUUGGGGAACCAGAGAUGUUUGUUUGGAUGAUUGGGUGGGUGCAUAUUGUUUCCUCUCUUUGCUGGUUUAUCCUGGUUUACACCGUUUUUAGUGAUCACGUCGCCAUGCCCCAAAGCAAACUUUGGUUUAUCAGCUGGGUGGAACCAUUAUUCAUGAGUUUAACAUCAUUCUGUAUUGAAGAAGAUUUAAAACUACUGGCAAUGGAACACUUAACGUGUUUUUCGGGCGAUAAGGCACACCGGAUUAUACGACGCAUUGGGAAUUAACAUGUCUAUGUUCACACAUUACAGUCAGGCAGUCUUGUAGACUGCUCAGGGGUUCUGUUACAGGGCCAAUCAGGUAGUGACACAGCAUACCGUAAUGCUCCAAAUAUCCAUUGAGCGGAGCAGCUUCGUUGCUUACAUAAGUCAUACUUACACAUUUUGAUAGAUUUUUGAGGGCAUUGUGCCACAUAAAAACUGUCAGUGAGCACAACAAGUAAUCAUACAUAAGGCGUGCUGGAUAAUAAGGUGCACUGUCAAUUUUUGAGGAAAUCUAUGGAUUUUAAGUGCACCCUAUAGUCCGGGAAAUACGGUACACUUACAGCUUGUUGAGUAGCCCCCUGUUGGCCGUUAAAGAAAAUGCAAAAUCAAGGCGUUUCUGCUCUAAAUUCACUUUUGUAAUCUGAAAUCAGAGGUCAUAUCACUUCUUUUGCACGGUUAGUGGCUGGAUCUCAACCUACAUAAACCUUUUUGAGAUCCACAAGUAAAAACUAAUGAACGUUAACUUAAGCUGAACAUUAAUUUGCUAAAUUGUGGAGGUGUAAAAUUUUAAAUAUAAUCUUUAAAUACAAGAUUUAAAUACAGAAUUCAGUCUGUUUCUACUCUCUCAGUAGUGGCAUGGAAAAAACCUUAAAAACAGUGAGCGACAUCAUCGCCAUUUCCAAGUGGUGUAACAAUGCAUUUAACAGAGGUGUCUACAAGGAGGAUCUGUGAGGGUGAGAUAUCAGUGACUGAAAUUCUCUUGUUGCUUCUGAUGGCUUGACCUCUGACCGUGUGUAUCUCUCUGUCUUUUUAUUUUUCAUCUAUUGUUAUGUCUCACUUUAUCUCAGCUUUGGCUGUCUGUCUUUCCCGUCCACCCUGUCUGUCUCUGUCUUUCUCUCUCUCCCUGCCUGUAUCCCUCUCUAUAAGUCGCCCUCUGGUUGCAACAGCUGCUUGAUGUUUGUGACAGGCAGUGCGAUAGUGCUGACAGUCUGGAGACGGUUAUCAGAGAGGGCUGCCUUGAGAGGCUCCGCCCGGCUAAAUUGAAAAUUGCAAAUGAAAAUCCUGCUCAGCGCGUUUUUUUUUAAAUUCAUCAGCCAUUAUGUCCGAUGACCUUUUGGGGCGUCAGGCUCGGCUGAUAAAACUCCAAACGACAACACUCAUCUCUGAUCCAAUUUUCAACACUGUCCCCUUCCUCCCUCUGCCACCUCCUCCUCCUCCUCCUCCUCACUCUCACUCACCGUUCAACCCAGCUCCAGAGAAGAUGAUAGGCUUUCAGGAGAGCCUCCAUUGUGCUGCAGAUGAAGAGGUUUUGUUUGGAGGAGAUGGCCUCACUAUCUUUGUGCGUGUGUGUGUGUGUGUUCGUGGAGAAGGUUGUGAGGUUUUAAGGGCAUACAGUGUGGCCUGGCCUGGCCUCUUCCUGGUCUGGCUGUUGUUGUCCAAUCACGGCGAGGAUCAGAGGCCGGGAACGUGUGAGCAUUUAGAAAUACAGGAGGGGAGGAAGAGAGGUGAAGGGGUGUAAUAAACACUAAGAGCAGAUGUCACUCGAAAUGGCUUUUCCAGGGUGGGUCAGUGUGUGCUGUCAUUGACUGGCGUGUGUGUGUGUGUGUGUGUGUGUGUGUGUGUGUGUGUGUGUGUGUGUGUGUGUGUGUGUGUGUGUGUGUGUGUGUGUGUGUGAAAGCCCGUGUAUCAUCUCAGGAGAGGGAAAACUGAAAAGAUGGAGCAGAGCUGAUCCUCUCAGUCUAUCAGAAGCUCUAUCCGUCUGUAAUUGAAUUCUCUCCCGCUCCCAUUGUUGUCCUCUUUGUCUCUUGGGAUGGGAUGGUCAGAUGUUUUUUCCUCAGGUGCUGCUGUAUCACAGCUUCCAUGUCCUACCAUACUGACACAUCAUAGACAUUUCUUGGUGCCAAUUCUUCUGACGGACUGUUUUUUUUUUCUGUUUUGUUUAUCCGUGUAGGAAGUUGAUGCGAAGGUCAAAUAACCUGAAAAACUUUUAGGAGAGGUUUGACUUUUUUCAAGGCCAUCUUUACACUGUAUUUAUUCCUAGAGAGAUUUCCUAUAGACUUGUGCCACAAAAGUUUUGCUUUACACCGACUUCUCGUAAAAGCCACUUGCUUUGAGGAAGACCAGCAGCUGUCUUGCGAUCAAGGAUUUUUCUAUCCUGAAAAGAUCAGUGCAGAUCCACUACCUCAAAAACAAAGGCAAACUGAUUAUAUAAUUUUUAGUGAAGUAGUUUCGUUUCUAUUGUUAGCUGACUAUGCUAGAUAAAGGCUGCUAUCUUUCUUUUAUUCUGUUAACCAAUCAGAAGCUGUGCCUGCAAUCAGCUGACUUAAGUAAAGGCCCACUAAUCGAUUUUAAUAAAAUCUUAUAAAAUACCAUCUCUGUGAAUCAUAUCUGUUCCUAGUUUAUGGCCUCAUAAAUGUUAUAUGAUCAAAGCGCAGGAAGUAGAGCUGGGUGAUAAACAGAAAAUUUACCGAUACUGAAAUUUAUGGUAAUAACCAACGUCAUUUUGCCCAUGUCGGUAUAUCCGGUGUCAAAAAUAAAUAAAUAAAAGUUGGUUUUGGAUGUGUGUAGGUAGGCUAUGGUUUCAUGUCCCUUUAAGACGUCCUAUGCCAGAGACGUGACUCUACCCCAUCCAGUCUGUAACAUUAGUUCUUAAAAGUGUCAAAAUAAUGGCAAUAAAUAGGUCCAGGGGAGUCAUACUAUCAAAAAACUGCCCCAGCCCAUUACAUAGGCUAAACUUUUUUGUGGCAGGGGCGCAGUGGAGUAUUUAUCAUCCAUAUAUCGUUAUUGAGGUGAACUGCUCAAUAUAUUGUGAUAUUGAUUUGAGGUCAUAUUGCCCAUCCCCAUUACAGAAGACCCCUCGUUUUCUUGCACAUGCCCAGAUCCCUCCUCACUGAAACCAAACUGUGAGUACGCCCUCCAACACAGACGAGAUGUUUGAAAGGUCAAGUUCAUGUAAAUAUUUUAGGGUAUUUAACUACUGACAUUUAGACAUUGUCAGUAGUUAAUAGGUGGAGGGGUUGCUGUAUCUGUUUUGGAUGAAGGGUAAACUUCCUUGCUCUGAAACUUGCAUUAGUUGACAUGCUACUGUUGACAGAAAAUGAUGUGAUGCCAUUUAAACUGUGACCAGCUUUGUUUUGAAAUAUUGCAGAAUUUAUGUAAAGCAUCUGUUUGUGUGUGCAGUCGUGUCUCAUCAGUAGCUGGUCUAACAUUAUACCAAAUAUGUACAGAUAUGUAUUUGCUCUUUCAGUAUUUACAAGUGUGUCCCAGCAUGCGUCCACAUCUGCCCGCGAGUGUGUGUUUGUGUGUGCGUGCAGCUGUCCCAGGUGUGCGUUAUUAAUCAGUUAUCAGGGCAGUUUAUUUGCUGGCUGACAAGUUGCAAUUUUUCCCCUGAUUCCAGGCCUCUUUGUCAGGUGGGAAUUACUCUGAGAGCACAUGACAAAACACUUCACCUCAGCAUGGCUCCCACACUCCUCUCUCUCUCACUCUCUCUCUCUCACCGUGUUGCUGAAUUCUACCAUCUCUUCUUCCUCUCGUUUCUGCCUCCUCCUUCUUCACCCCAAACCCCUUUUUUAGCCUCAACUUCUUCUCUUCUGUCUCGUCCCUCAGUCCUGUUUCUUCCUCCAUCUUGUCCCGUCUUUUAUAUUUAUUUUCCCUCCCAUGAACAUCAUCCUAAGCCCUUGGAGUAAAAAAAAAAGGCGGACUGUAUAAUUAAUCACACAGCUUGGUCUAAUUAGAGAUGAAUAAGCGUUGUCCCUCUUGUCACACAGUGACACACACACAUACACAGCAUAGACACACACACACACACACACACACACACACCUUAGCAUCUUGGGCCUAAUAGCAGUUGAUGCUGUAUUAACAGCAAAUGGUGCUAUCACAGCCAGAACCCCACUUGGCGAGAUGUAUCUGAUAAAUGUGACAAUAAUUAGUGAAGACAGAUGAGAGGUAAAUUACCACUGACAAUGCAAUGCUGUCCUCUCUGCCACUGAAGAGAGAGAGAGAGCCAGAAAAAGAGAGGGAGAGAAGAGGACAUGUUAGAUGAAAAAGAGAGAAAGGGAUCAGACAGCGAGGGGCACAGAAAGUAGUUUGGUUUCAUGGAACUUAUUAUUUGCAUGCAAAUGAUGUUUUUACUGGUUCAGCCUCAUGAAAACUCUGAUGGAAAAUUUAGUUAUUACCAAAUUUAAGAAGACACAUAAAGAAUAUGUAAUAAAAAAAGGUAAAUGUGACAUAUUUAUCUCGUUUAUACUUUAUAUUAAUGUUCAUUAUGACUCAGUGUAUCGCUGUUAGGGCUGGGCGAUAUGGCCUCAAAUCAAUAUCACGAUAUAUUAAGCAGUUCAUUUCGAUAACGAUAAAUGGACGAUAACUCACCCCCUCCCACAUUAACUUCGUCUACUUAAGCCGCUACAACUUUUGAACCUUCCUCCAUCUCCUCACCUGUCUUUCCCUCUUUGUUAUGGGCCGGAUGGGGUGGAGUCAGGGUUAGGGUUAGGGGUUAGUCUCUGAUGUAAAGGGACAUGAGACCAUAGCCUACCUACACACAUCCAAAACCAACUUUUAUUUAUUUUUUGACACUGAAUUUACAUAUAUGGGCAAAAUGAUGUCAGGUAUUGUUGAAGAUUUCAGUAUCGAUACAUUUUCGGUUUAUCGUCCAGCCCUAUUUGUUGUGAUAAGCAGAGGAGGGGCUGACAUUGUAUUGCAUGCAGCUUUGUAUUCUUUGUCAUGCAUGUCAUGUUUAAGUUGUGUUGUCUGACAGAAAUUGCCGUCCUGUGUUGUUUAUAACUCUCUGUGAAAAUGUCAUUGAAGGCUGUUCCUCCUGUUUGCUCUUAGUCAUCUGAUUUCAGACUUGCCAGAUGACAGCAGUUGCAGGCAUUAAAUAGCUUAUUUUAAGAGAAAUUUCAAUGUUGUUGCUAAUAGUUUCUUAAAAAAACAUGAAUGUUGAUGACAAACCAGAGAAAAAUAAACUUUAAAAAGCGUCCUUCAUUAAAAACAAUCUUCAAAAUAGUUAUGUUCAUCACUGAUUGCCAUAGAAAGUGGUGCAAAAUGCUCCAGAUCACCAUCUUUAAGAGAAGACAAAUCAAAUUGGCUAAUUAAUAUACAUAUUUUUUUAUUUAUUACAAGGUCAUGUUAAAAGAAGUUUGUGUAUUUUAGCAAAGUCUUGACUGUGUUCUUUGUUUUAUUAUUUAGGAGGGAUGUUCUGAAGUGGCCAAUUACUAAAUUGUGCACAAUUACUACUAUUGUAAAGUUAAGAAAACUCUCACAAGAGUCAAAGUUGAACAUAAUUUAUUAAACAUGACUUAACGUGGGAGGAUUGUAAAAAAAUAUGUAAGUUGUAAGCACCGGUAAUCAGUCUGUUAUCAGCCCUACCUGUUCAGAAAGAGUAACAUCAUAUUGCCUCUUAGCUGCUGAGAGAGGGAAAGACGGUUAGUGUUAUAAAGCAUCAGGACUAAUGACUGCUCUCUGCUAAAGGAGGAAAAGAGGCAAAGAUGAUGAGAGACAAGAGAGGGAGUGAGGAUAAGAGGUGAAGAGGGAAGAAGAGAUGGUAGCCUAAUUGUUUUCGUCAGAGGCAGUGGGGAGCUAUCAGGGUAAUAAAGUUAAUUAGCAGAACAAACAAGCAGCAAGAAAGAGAGAGAGGGAGAGAGAGGGAUGGAUGGACAGAGAAAGAGAGAGGAACAGAUGGAGGGAUUUGAUGAUUACAAAUGGAAGCAGAUCUAACACAAGGAGAAAACAGUGAAAUCAAUUACCCUUAUUUUCUCCCUCUGGUGGAGGAAAAGAUGAGUGUGGGAGGGAUCAACUAGAUGGAACCAAAACUCCUCCUCCUCUUUUAUCUGAAGCCCCCCCCCCAUACUGUGUGUGUGUGAUCAGUGUCCUGUGUCACACUCAUUUUUCCACAAACACUCAUCAGAAUCCAAGUGAUAAACAUCCUCAUAACGGUCGUUUGUGUUUUUUAUCCAUAGUUAUACAUUAUUUUCUUCUUUUACAUCAUUUACACACCCUUGUAAACUUCAACUCAAGUUAGAAUUUCCUCUUUUUAAUCUACACUGAGAGUAAAUUUUUGCCAUUCAUAUACAGGGUACCCAGAUUAUUGAAAAAAAGCUAAAAAGACUUCACACAGGAAAAGAUGAGGAGAAACAGCUGAUGUUUAAAGGUUAAAAGUUUUAUUAUUUACAGUGUAAAGAACAACGGCGGCACUUAUUUGAGUUUAUUUUGUACUCAGUUAUCAUUUUUUGCUGCAUAAUUUUCAACAUGUAAGUCAAUGAAGGCCCUGCAUGAUUAAAUCACAUGGAUUGCAUUGUCACUCACCGUAGCAACCAAACAGUAUCUGACAGCCCAUCACGACAGCGAUGUGGUGACAGGCUAGGUAAUGGAACCUGUGUCUUUGACAUCACAUGUAGAGGAAACACUUCAUUAUGGAAGAGUUGUGUGUAUAUGUGUAUGUCUGUGUGUGUCUCUGCAGUGCUAGCAUGCCUCCUCCGUCAUGUCUCAUUUCCAAGUUGCUGUAAUUCUGUAAUUGUACAAGGCAUGCUGAGGAAGUGUGUAUCUGUGUCUGUGGAUGAAGCUGUCUGUGUGUAUGUUCAAGGUCUGAAUCAUACUUUGUAUUCCCCCGCGAUCAUGUAGCAUUAAAGUUACUAUUGAACCGAGAUUAACUGAAGAUAAGAGAGGUGGUUACCAAUCAAUUUGUACAUUUUUGUAGGCAUGAAGCAAAUUUAAAGCGAAAGUCUGUUAUUUUCUGUACCAAAACAUCUUGAUCUAUAUAAUUUCACAUAAACAAUUAGGUGUACAAUAUUGAUAUUGGAUAUCGGUCCGAUAUCAGCAAAAAAAUGAAUAUCAGAUUAUAUCGGCCUGCAUCUAAAAUCUUCAAUAUCAGCCUUCCAAUACAAGCAGUCCAUUCCAGACUCCACUACCGCACCUCUAGCUCGCAGCACCCUGAUCCAGCAUGCAGAGCCCACAAAAUCACAACAACAGUGUGUACUAAGGUACUAACAAAGUAGCAAGGAUUAGGAGUGAUGUCGGCCUUGUGGCAGUAUUUUUUGUUCUCAACAAAAUUUUUAUUAGUUUUGUACAGGUUAUACAAAGGAAACACAUCACAAACACCCCCUUUCCCUCAAAACCCCA
This 13011-nucleotide long non-coding RNA is filed under the name Xyrichtys novacula (pearly razorfish). Lineage: Eukaryota; Metazoa; Chordata; Actinopteri; Labriformes; Labridae. The record is from RNAcentral.